GACAGAGGCCUCAAGCGUUAGGCGGAAUCACUGGGCUUAAAGCGUGUGUAGGCGGAUCGUUAAGUACCUUGUGAAAUCCCACGGCUCACCCGUGGAACUGCUGGGUAUACUGGCGGUCUUGGGCCAACUAGGGGCAGCUGGAACAAGCGGUGGAGCGGUGAAAUGCGUAGAUAUCGCUUGGAACGCCGAAGGUGAAAACAGGUAGCUGGGGCUGUGCUGACGCUGAGACACGAAAGCCAGGGGAGCAAACGGG
RNAcentral lists this ribosomal RNA (253 nucleotides) under uncultured bacterium. RNAcentral's name for it is "partial 16S ribosomal RNA". It matches the Rfam family "Bacterial small subunit ribosomal RNA", at positions 524 to 776 of the family's 1533-position model. The record is from RNAcentral.